UUUUUUAUUAUUCUCUGAAAUCUGAAGCUUACGGUUGCCUAAAAGAGGGUGAGUUCUUCUUAUCUCCAAUUUUCCUGAGGUAGGAAGCACACUGUGGAAUAAGGAGAAAGAAAAUGCAGAUAUGAGUAGCCUCUCCAGGAAGCAAUGUGACUAAAUACUCUUUAUACAAAACCAAAGAAUUAGAUAAAUACGUGUUGAAGUGUUAUUCCUGAAAGCUGGAGAAAGAAAACUUACUUCUAAGAAUUGCGGAGUGAAGGAAUAAGAAAAUGUGACGCUUGGAAGAAAGAACACAGCGCCGAGAGGCCUUGUUGCUGAGUGUGCCGAACAAUAGGCACCCUCCAAGGAUGCUUGCCUGCAAUUCCAGCUCCGCCAUCAAUUCACUGUAUGCCUUUGGAAACUUUAAAAUUACACACCUGACUGAAAUUUGUGGGAGCCACAGUCCUCUAGAGUGUCUUGUACCAGUGAUUGAAUGCUGUACCUCAUUGGCUAGAAUCAGUCACCCAAUCUCAGGAAGGCCAGAAAAUGCAAUCCCACAACGUAGCUGGAAGGCAGCUAACUGGAAAUCAAUGAUCAUCCACAAGAAAUGAAUGAUGUUCAAAAUUACUUGUCAUGCCCUUUGCUUGGGGCUGAAAACAAGAUGCAGUCGUACAGAUUUCAAUUACAGAAGGGCAAGCAAAUGGAGUGUGUACUCUAGAGGCAGACUGCCUGGGAUCAAAAUGCUUGCAGUAUAACCAUCGACAGCCUCCAUAACUUAUCUCUUCCCAGGUUAACCAACCUGUAAAAUGGGGUAUGCAACUAAGACAUGCCUGAGUGAAGUUUCCUAGGAGCCAAAUAAUUAAUCCAACAUUUAUCUGAAAUGCAGAACUAACUUGCAUAAUUCUUCAAUUGAAUAUCACACCUUUGAUGGGGAUAUACAAAUUGUUUCAACCUGAGGCUUGAAAACAUGUGUCAUAAAGCAUUCUGAUUAAUCAAGAGCACCUUGUAAUUCGCUGCAUUUGGAAUGUAGAUACCUAACUUCCUGAAUCUUUUAACAAAAUACCUGUAAAAUUGCAUGAUCAAAACUAUACCUCCACUGAGCAAAGUGACAGAGAUGGUACUAACAUCAACAAAAGAAUCUUUCCAGCCAUGCAAGGUUGUAAUGUUAAAUUCCCAUUCACGAUCAAAAUUCCACAUAUUUACAACCUGCAAACAUCCAAAAUUCACACUUCAACAUCUGUGGGGCUGCCAACUUCUACUGAAAUCUAUAGUAUGCUUUUUUAGAAGUGGAAGAAAAAGAACAUAAAACCUUGAGGUAAGUACAAUUCAAUAAUUAUGCUAAAUAUUUACCAAAUGUUUGUUAUGGGAUGUAUUUUAUUAGUUGAUAACACUUAGAAACUGAUUAGGGAUGCAAAAGGCUUAACAAGUUUGCAGAAUUUUUACUGCAGACUGUGGCUCAAGAAUUUAUAGCAUGCCAAAAACACACA
This is a non-coding RNA of Callithrix jacchus (white-tufted-ear marmoset), 1463 nucleotides long. Lineage: Eukaryota; Metazoa; Chordata; Mammalia; Primates; Cebidae. The record is from RefSeq and is a predicted model, not a curated record.